AGGAGCAGUUGAGAUAUGAGUUGCAUCAUGUGGAGAAAGUCUUGACAGCCCAAAAUCCGCGACUUUGACACCAAAAUUGUUGUCAAGGAGAAUGUUAGUAGUCUUAACAUCGCGGUGUAUUAUGUCAGAAGCGUGGAGAUAAGCUAAAGCGCUGGCAGUUUCUAUGGCAAUUUUCAAUCGGAUAGGCCAUGUUAGGGUACUCCCAUUCUUUGCUUUUUCACCGUGGAGGUGAUCAGCAAUUGUACCAUUUGGAAUGUAUUCAUAAACGAGGAGUUCACGACUAUGCCUUGACGUGCAACCAUUGCGGAUAGGCCAUAUAAGGGUACUCCCGUUCUUUGCUUUAUCACCGUGGAGGUGAUCAGCAAUCGUUCCAUUUGGAAUAUAUUCGUAAACGAGGAGGAGUUCACGACUAUGCCUUGAUGUGCAACCAUAAAGCAUAACAAGAUUCUGGUGCCUUAGUCGAGUAAGAAUUUCAACUUCAUUCUUAAACU
Molecule: long non-coding RNA, 491 nt
Filed under: Nicotiana benthamiana
Lineage: Eukaryota; Viridiplantae; Streptophyta; Magnoliopsida; Solanales; Solanaceae
Description: long non-coding RNA (NBEN_LNC041397)
Source: RNAcentral